Molecule: long non-coding RNA, 765 nt
Organism: Sesamum indicum (sesame)
Lineage: Eukaryota; Viridiplantae; Streptophyta; Magnoliopsida; Lamiales; Pedaliaceae
Source: RefSeq, a predicted model, not a curated record
CAGGAGUAUGUCCCUUCGGGGACAUCCGAUAAAAUUGGAACGAUACAGAGAAGAUUAGCAUGGCCCCUGCGCAAGGAUGACACGCAUAAAUCGAGAAAUGGUCCAAAUUUUUUUUUUCCCUAAAUUUUCAACCAAGAACACUUGAUGUUCUCAGGAUCGAAUUGCUUCAUGGUUUGCUUCAGGAGGAUGAGGCCUGGGAAUGGGAGUGGGAGCUGGAGCUGGUGCCGAUGGAGGGUCGAAACCCCCUUCUGGAGAGGGUGGAAACAGACGUCGGAACAUUGUUAAUGAUUUCGGAUCCUAGGUCAAUGUGGCUCCGGUCAUCUUUGACCCUCAUGAGACUGCAGGCAAAAUAGGUCCUUGGUGCUUUAAUGCUUGAAGCCUGUUGAUAUAGAGUAUAAUGACGGUAAUACGAUGAUGGACCCCUUGCGAAGGAGUUGUUGCAUUAAACUUUCUCCAGUCUUGUAGAUGCAUAUUCUUGCAGAGAAUUCCUUCAAAGUCUGAGCAUUUUCUGUGACCAUGAGAUUUUGCACAAUGAAUAUACAUUUUUGACCAAAAUUAUCUUUGGGGUUACUGAUCAUGAGGCUCAAAGUUCCCAGGAACCCACUGCAAUGAGAUGCUUGCUGCAAGAAUGUACCUAUGUAGCUGACAUUCAUCACUAGCCUACCGGAGCUUGAGUCGCAUUGCUGCUCUUCCAUCAUACGGAUGAGCAUUCUCCCACGCGCACCAUUAUUUUCCAAUUAAGUAAAUAUAUUGUAUCGUAGGUUC